GCGCCCGUAGCUCAGCCCGGAUUAGAGCGGCAGGGUCCUAACCUGUAGGUCGUAGGUUCAAAUCCUAUCGGGCGCA
This 76-nucleotide transfer RNA is filed under the name Nanobdellota archaeon. RNAcentral's name for it is "tRNA-Arg". It matches the Rfam family "tRNA". Rfam says of the family: Transfer RNA (tRNA) molecules are approximately 80 nucleotides in length. Their secondary structure includes four short double-helical elements and three loops (D, anti-codon, and T loops). Lineage: Archaea; Nanobdellati; Nanobdellota. The record is from RNAcentral.